CCUGCCCUGUGACUAUAUGUUUAACGGCCGCGGUAUUUUAACCGUGCGAAGGUAGCGCAAUCACUUGUCUUUUAAAUGGAGACCUGUAUGAAUGGCAUCACGAGGGCUUAGCUGUCUCCCCUCCCCAGUCAAUGAAAUUGAUCUCCCCGUGCAGAAGCGGGGAUAAAAACAUAAGACGAGAAGACCCUAUGGAGCUUUAGACGUCUAGAGCAGCUCAUGUUAAGCACCCCCAAACAAAGGGACAAACCAAAUGUAGGCCUGCUUUUAUGUCUUUGGUUGGGGCGACCGCGGGGAAAUAUAAAACCCCCAUGUGGAAUGGGAGCACACACUCCUAAAUCCAAGAGCUCCCGCUCUAAUAAACAGAAAUUCUGACCAACAAGAUCCGGCACAUGCCGAUCAACGGACCGAGUUACCCUAGGGAUAACAGCGCAAUCCCCUUAAAGAGCCCUUAUCGACAAGGGGGUUUACGACCUCGAUGUUGGAUCAGGACAUCCUAAUGGUGCAGCCGCUAUUAAGGGUUCGUUUGUUCAACGAUUAAAGUCCU
Molecule: ribosomal RNA, 544 nt
Filed under: Dentex abei
Lineage: Eukaryota; Metazoa; Chordata; Actinopteri; Spariformes; Sparidae
Description: partial 16S ribosomal RNA
Rfam family: Bacterial large subunit ribosomal RNA
Source: RNAcentral